AGUGAACGCUGGCGGUAGGCCUAACACAUGCAAGUCGAACGGCAGCACAGUAAGAGCUUGCUCUUACGGGUGGCGAGUGGCGGACGGGUGAGGAAUACAUCGGAAUCUACUUUUUCGUGGGGGAUAACGUAGGGAAACUUACGCUAAUACCGCAUACGACCUACGGGUGAAAGCAGGGGAUCUUCGGACCUUGCGCGAUUGAAUGAGCCGAUGUCGGAUUAGCUAGUUGGCGGGGUAAAGGCCCACCAAGGCGACGAUCCAUAGCUGGUCUGAGAGGAUGAUCAGCCACACUGGAACUGAGACACGGUCCAGACUCCUACGGGAAGCAGCAGUGGGGAAUAUUGGACAAUGGGCGCAAGCCUGAUCCAGCCAUACCGCGUGGGUGAAGAAGGCCUUCGGGUUGUAAAGCCCUUUUGUUGGGAAAGAAAAGCAGCAGGUUAAUACCCCGCUGUUCUGACGGUACCCAAAGAAUAAGCACCGGCUAACUUCGUG
Molecule: ribosomal RNA, 492 nt
Filed under: uncultured bacterium
Lineage: Bacteria
Description: partial 16S ribosomal RNA
Rfam family: Bacterial small subunit ribosomal RNA
Source: RNAcentral